GGACGAAAGGUAGUAGUUAAUACCUGCUAGAAGAGGGGGUUACUGACAGAAGAAGCACCGGCUAACUCCGUGCCAGCAGCCGCGGUAAUACGGAGGGUGCGAGCGUUAAUCGGAAUUACUGGGCGUAAAGCGUACGCAGGCGGUUUGUUAAGCGAGAUGUGAAAGCCCCGGGCUCAACCUGGGAACUGCAUUUCAAACUGGCAAACUAGAGUGUGAUAGAGGGUGGUAGAAUUUCAGGUGUAGCGGUGAAAUGCGUAGAGAUCUGAAGGAAUACCGAUGGCGAAGGCAGCCACCUGGGUCAACACUGACGCUCAUGUACGAAAGCGUGGGGAGCAAACAGGAUUAGAUACCCUGGUAGUCCACGCCGUAAACGAUGUCUACUAGAAGCUCGGAACCUCGGUUCUGUUUUUCAAAGCUAACGCAUUAAGUAGACCGCCUGGGGAGUACGGCCGCAAGGUUAAAACUCAAAUGAAUUGACGGGGAACCUU
This 488-nucleotide ribosomal RNA is filed under the name uncultured bacterium. RNAcentral's name for it is "bacterial SSU rRNA". It matches the Rfam family "Bacterial small subunit ribosomal RNA", at positions 443 to 924 of the family's 1533-position model. The record is from RNAcentral.